UUUGGGGCCUGUAGCUCAGCUGGUUAGAGCACACGCUUGAUAAGCGUGGGGUCACUAGUUCGAAUCUAGUCAGGCCC
Molecule: transfer RNA, 77 nt
Filed under: uncultured bacterium 92
Lineage: Bacteria
Description: tRNA-Ile
Rfam family: tRNA
About the family: Transfer RNA (tRNA) molecules are approximately 80 nucleotides in length. Their secondary structure includes four short double-helical elements and three loops (D, anti-codon, and T loops).
Source: RNAcentral